AUCUCCCCCGCCCAAUCCCACCACCUCUCACUCCCACAAUGGCCUCCUCUCUCCACCUCUCUUCAAUCUCCACCGUCCGUCCCUCAGCCCAUCUCCGAUCUCCACCGUCCAUCUCCACCUCCUCCUCCUCCCUCAAACUCUCCUCCACCUUCCGCCCUCCUCCCCUGAAGCUCGCUCUCCGCCGCAGCCGCCGCAGCCGCCGCGGCGGAGCCGUCAUGGCCGACACCGCGGCAGCGAGCUACGCCAACGCGCUCUCCGACGUCGCCUGCAGGAACAACACUCUCGACACCACCAUGGCUGAUGUCGAGAAGCUCGGUCGCAUCUUCUCCGACCCCGAGGUCCUUUCCUUCUUCGUUAACCCCAUCAUUGCCAACGAGGAAAAGGAGAAGGUCGCUUGCGAGAUCGCCGAUUCCUCCUGCCUCCAGCGCCACACCGCCAACUUCAUCUCCAUUCUCAUCGACAUGAACCGCAUCGACAUCAUCCAGGACAUCGUCAGAGAGUUCGAGAACUGCUACAAUAGGAUCACCGGCACCGAGGUCGCCGUGGUGUCGUCGGUUGUGCAGCUCGACUCGCAGCACCUCGCUCAGAUCGCGCAGGUCGUGCAGAAGCUCACCAAGGCCAAGAACAUCCGGCUGAAGACCGUCAUUGAUCCUUCUCUCGUUGCCGGGUUCACCAUCAGGUUUGGGAAUUCCAGGUCGAAGCUUAUCGACCUGAGUGUUAAGAAGCAUUUGGAUGAGAUCGCCUCACAGCUCGACUUCUCUUCUAUCUCCUUCGCUUGAAAAAAGCGCCUAGAAGAUGAUCAACCUGAGUGUUAAGAAGCAACUGAAUGAAAUCACUUUGCAGCUCAACUUAUCCUCCAUCUCCCUCGCUUGAAAAAAAGCCAAUCUUCAAAAAAAUUCUUUUUCCUCAAAUUUGGAGCAAUAGGAACUUCUUAGCUCUCGCAGUGAAUGGUGGGUGUUCUUAUGUGAUCCUCUGCUUGAAGAAUAUUGUUGGAUGAAUGGGCAUUGUUUGAUCUUUCUUUCUUGAACUUUUUUCUUUGAAACUGUUGUUCCUUAUCAUUAGAGACUGACUAUGUUGUUUCCCCCAUUCUUCACACAAACAGUUGUGUGAUUUGUGUGAUUUGAUUAAUGAAAUGUAUAUUUUGGUGAAA
RNA transcript from Dioscorea cayenensis subsp. rotundata (Guinea yam), 1150 nucleotides. It is a transcript of the gene named ATP synthase subunit delta, chloroplastic-like, with no coding region annotated. The record is from RefSeq and is a predicted model, not a curated record. The transcript has 4 exons. Lineage: Eukaryota; Viridiplantae; Streptophyta; Magnoliopsida; Dioscoreales; Dioscoreaceae.